Molecule: ribosomal RNA, 324 nt
Filed under: Leptodactylus mystacinus (moustached frog)
Lineage: Eukaryota; Metazoa; Chordata; Amphibia; Anura; Leptodactylidae
Description: partial 12S ribosomal RNA
Rfam family: Bacterial small subunit ribosomal RNA
Source: RNAcentral
CUUAAAACCCAAAGGACUUGACGGUACCCCAAAUCCACCUAGAGGAGCCUGUCCUAUAAUCGAUAAUCCCCGUUAAACCUCACCUCUUCUUGUUUAUCAACCUGUAUACCUCCGUCGCCAGCUUACCGCAUGAGCGUUUUUAAGUGAGCCUAAUGCCUACACGCCAAUACGUCAGGUCAAGGUGCAGUUUAUGAAGUGGAAAGAGAUGGGCUACACUUUCUAUUUUAGAAGAAACGAAAGACUACCUAUGAAAUCUAGUCAGAAGGAGGAUUUAGUAGUAAAAAGAAAGCAGAGUGUUCUUUUUAAUCUGGCACUGGGGUGUGU